UGGGGAAUAUUGGACAAUGGGGGCAACCCUGAUCCAGCAAUGCCGCGUGUGUGAAGAAGGCCUGCGGGUUGUAAAGCACUUUCGAUGGGAAAGAAAAACCCGGAGCUAAUACCUCCGGCAUUGACGGUACCCAAAGAAUAAGCACCGGCUAACUCAGUGCCAGCAGCCGCGGUAAUACUGAGGGUGCGAGCGUUAAUCGGAAUUACUGGGCGUAAAGCGAGUGUAGGCGGUUACCUAAGUCGGAUGUGAAAGCCCCGGGCUUAACCUGGGAAUUGCAUUCGAUACUGGGUGACUGGAGUUUGGUAGAGGUAAGUGGAAUUCCGGGUGUAGCGGUGAAAUGCGUAGAUAUCCGGAGGAACAUCAGUGGCGAAGGCGGCUUACUGGACCAAAACUGACGCUGAGGCUCGAAAGCGUGGGUAGCAAACAGGAUUAGAUACCCUGGUAGUCCACGCCCUAAACUAUGUCAACUAGACGUUGGGCUCAUUAAUGAGCUUAGUGUCGUAGCUAACGCGUUAAGUUGACCGCCUGGGGAGUACGGCCGCAAGGUUG
This 549-nucleotide ribosomal RNA is filed under the name uncultured bacterium. Its description in RNAcentral is "bacterial SSU rRNA". It matches the Rfam family "Bacterial small subunit ribosomal RNA", at positions 355 to 896 of the family's 1533-position model. The record is from RNAcentral.